RNAcentral lists this long non-coding RNA (1001 nucleotides) under Homo sapiens (human). RNAcentral's name for it is "non-protein coding lnc-HBE1-1:4". Lineage: Eukaryota; Metazoa; Chordata; Mammalia; Primates; Hominidae. The record is from RNAcentral.
CUUCUCCUGGCCAUGGUUGUGAGGCCUCCCCAGCUAUGUGGAACUAUGUUGAGAAGGAACAACAUGAUCUAAGUCUUUAGAAACCAAGAGCCACGACUAGCUGAGGACACAAGAAUUUUCACAAAACAAAGUAGAGUGAUUCCAUAGAUCACUAUUAUAGCUGCAUUACCAGUCCUAGGACAGAAUAUGGAUGCUGAAAAAUGAUUCUUUCAAAGUGCUGAGUUGUUGCCUCACGCCCAGUUGUCUGGCAUCUCUUCACUGAAACUAUUACAGUUAGAUCUCAUCUCUAUGGGUGGAAGAUUUUUCUCUGUUGCCCAGGCUAGAGUGCAGUGGUGCGAUCUCAGCUCACUGCGACCUCCUCCACCAGGGUUCAGGGGAUUCUCAUGCCUCAGCCUCCAGAGUAGCUGGGAUUAUGAUCAUGUGCCACCACACCUGGCUUAUUUUUGUAAUUAUAGUAGUGAUGGUGUUUUGCCAUGUUGGCCCAGCUGGUCUCGAACUCCUGAACUCAAGUGAUCCACCCUCCUCGGCCUCCCAAAGUGCUGGGAUUAUAGGCAUGAGCCACCGUGCCCAGCUGUUUUUUACUCACUUUUUGUCUCACAGUCAUUAGGCAUUCAUUUCUGCCAUUAUGUUGAAAUUGUCAAUAUUACCAAAGACCUAGUUGCCCCAAACAAUCAACACCUCUAUGUUUAUAUUAAUUGAUAAUUCUAUAUUUUUCACUAUUAACCUACCAUAGUAUCCACUCCUAUAAACUUCCCUUUUCAUUGUUUUUUUGUAAAUACAGAUCAACUUUGCUAUCCUCUUACAUCUGUGCCUGCUUCUUUGUCUAUCUCCUUUGAGAUCUUUCUUUUUACUGAGAGCAAAAUUUGUCCUAGUUUCCCAAUGUUUCUCUCCAAACCUUUUUUUUUUUUUUUUUUGAGACAGAGCCUUGCUUUGUCGCCCAGGCUGUAGUGCAGUGGCACAAUCUUGGCUCACUGCGACGACCUCUGCUCCCCAGUUUUUUU